GUGCCCGUGGCUCAGCUGGAUAGAGCGGCGCUUUCCUAAAGCGCAGGCCCCCGGUUCGAAUCCGGGCGGGCAUACCA
RNAcentral lists this transfer RNA (77 nucleotides) under Planctomycetota bacterium. RNAcentral describes it as "Planctomycetes bacterium (gut metagenome) tRNA-Arg". It matches the Rfam family "tRNA". From Rfam's summary of the family: Transfer RNA (tRNA) molecules are approximately 80 nucleotides in length. Lineage: Bacteria; Pseudomonadati; Planctomycetota. The record is from RNAcentral.